Molecule: ribosomal RNA, 372 nt
Filed under: uncultured eukaryote
Lineage: Eukaryota
Description: partial 18S ribosomal RNA
Rfam family: Eukaryotic small subunit ribosomal RNA
Source: RNAcentral
CAAUAGCGCAUAUUAAAGUUGUUGCAGUUAAAAAGCUCGUAGUUGGAUUUGUGGUGGUUCCUGUGGUCCGAUUUCGGCACUCUCGGGGACUGCCAUCUUUGGGUGGAUCCUGUGUGGCAUUAGGUUGUCGUGCAGGGGAUGCCCAUCGUUUACUGUGAAAAAAUUAGAGUGUUCAAAGCAGGCUUAUGCCGUUGAAUAUAUUAGCAUGGAAUAAUGAGAUAGGACCUUGGUACUAUUUUGUUGGUUUGCGCACCGAGGUAAUGAUUAAUAGGGACAGUUGUGGGUAUUCGUAUUCCAUUGUCAGAGGUGAAAUUCUUGGAUUUCUGGAAGACGAACUAAUGCGAAAGCAUUUACCAAGGAUGUUUUCAUUAA